This 1470-nucleotide ribosomal RNA is filed under the name Triticum aestivum (bread wheat). RNAcentral describes it as "partial small subunit ribosomal RNA". Lineage: Eukaryota; Viridiplantae; Streptophyta; Magnoliopsida; Poales; Poaceae. The record is from RNAcentral.
AUGAAGGGGCCGGCUGCGGCGGCGCCCGCACGCAAGAGGCGCGCAUCCGCUGGGCCCAGGUCGAGGCCACAGAAGCGGCCACGUGACGGCGGCCGCGACGGCGACCUCAUCAGCAACCUCCCCGACGCCGUCCUCGGCACCAUCAUCUCCCUCCUCCCCACCAAGGACGGCGCCCGCACGCAGGCCAUCGCCCGACGAUGGCGUCCCCUCUGGCGCUCCUCGCCUCUCAACCUCGACGCCUCCUACAACCUUCACCGCGACGAGUUCAAGCGCCUCUCCGUCGUCUCCAGGGUUCUGUCAAACCUCCCCGGCCCGGCGCGCUGCUUCGCUUUCCGCUUCAUCCGCCUCCACAAGGCCAAAAAGAGGUUUGCCGAGGAUGCCGCGCAGAUCAGUAGCUGGUUCCAUUCCCCGAGCCUCCGCAACCUCCAGGAGCUCGACAUCGGCUUCGAUCUACUUGAAUACGGUGGACAUGAGCAGACCGACAAGGAGAAGCGCUGCCCGUUGCCACCGUCCGUGUUCUGCUCAGCAUCAACCCUUGUCGUGGUCAGCAUUUCCUCCUGCGAUUUCCCAAGGGAGAUCAAUUUCCCCCUCCUCAAGCAGCUCAAACUAUGGCGUGUUUCCAUCUCCGACGAUGUCUUCUCGAACGUGCUCUCUGCCUGCCAUGUCUUGGAUAGCUUAGAUCUCUCGUAGAUUCGUGAGGUGUCUUGCCUCCGCAUUAGCUUGCCAACACUCAGGAUCAUCGUCAUCUGCUCUUUGUUUCAUGGCAAAGGAGAAUUGCUCAUUAAGGAGGCCCCUUGCCUUGAAAGGUUACUAUUAAGUUAUCCGGGCUUGGGCGGUGAGAUUAUUCGGGUUGUUAGGGCGCCUAAAUUGGAGGUGUUGGGCCUUUUGUGUCCCAGCAUUUCAGAAAUUGAGAUUGCUAAUACAGUCUUCCAGGGAUUGAUCCCAUCCAGCUCGGAAAACCCAAUAUGCAGUGUAAAGGUUUUGGCUCUCCAUUUCUCUAGCCCUGAUUUGGGUGCAGUUCUUGACAUCCUUAGAUGCUUCCCCUGCUUGGAAAAACUCCAUGUCAUUUGGGACGAUUCUACAAAGGCAGAGGUGAAAAAUAUGCGUCAGUAUGAGCCUCUAGAUCCAAUCAAUUGCCUUGAGAGCCAUCUGAAAGUACUGGUGCUAACAAAUUACAAAGGUGGUGAGGAAGAUGUUGGAUUUGCAAAGUUCUUCGUUUUGAAUGCGGAAGUGGUGAAGGAAAUCAACUUUGUAGUGUGUAAGAAGAUUGAUAUACACAAGAAAUGGAUGACUGACCAACUCAGGCUGCUAGAAGUGGAAAAUAGAGCUUCUCAAGAUGCCCGAUUGAAAUUUGGAAGAAGUUCUAGUUGGUAUUACUCUGUGGAUACCCAGGACUUGUCAAUUGCCGACCCUUUCAGCAACUGUUGUUUUGUAGAUGGGGUAGAUGCUCUUUCAGAAGCAUAUCCAUGA